UACGAGGGGGGCAAGCGUUGUUCAGAAUUAUUGGGCGUAAAGAGCUCGUAGGCGGUUUGUCGCGUCUGCUGUGAAAACCCGAGGCUCAACCUCGGGCCUGCAGUGGGUACGGGCAGACUAGAGUGCGGUAGGGGAGAUUGGAAUUCCUGGUGUAGCGGUGGAAUGCGCAGAUAUCAGGAGGAACACCAAUGGCGAAGGCAGAUCUCUGGGCCGUAACUGACGCUGAGGAGCGAAAGCAUGGGGAGCGAACAGG
Molecule: ribosomal RNA, 253 nt
Filed under: uncultured bacterium
Lineage: Bacteria
Description: partial 16S ribosomal RNA
Rfam family: Bacterial small subunit ribosomal RNA
Source: RNAcentral